AGAGCGAACGCUGGCGGCAGGCCUAAUACAUGCAAGUCGAACGGAUCCUUCGGGAUUAGUGGCGGACGGGUGAGUAACACGUGGGAACGUACCCUUUGGUUCGGAACAACUCAGGGAAACUUGAGCUAAUACCGAAUGUGCCCUUCGGGGAAAAGAUUUAUCGCCAUUGGAGCGGCCCGCGUCUGAUUAGCUAGUUGGUAGGGUAAAGGCCUACCAAGGCUACGAUCAGUAGCUGGUCUGAGAGGAUGAUCAGCCACACUGGGACUGAGACACGGCCCAGACUCCUACGGGAGGCAGCAGUAGGGAAUCUUGCGCAAUGGGCGAAAGCCUGACGCAGCCAUGCCGCGUGAAUGAUGAAGGUCUUAGGAUUGUAAAAUUUCUUUCAGCGGGGACGAUAAUGACGGUACCCGCAGAAGAAGCCCCGGCUAACUUCGUGCCAGCAGCCGC
Molecule: ribosomal RNA, 447 nt
Filed under: uncultured bacterium
Lineage: Bacteria
Description: SSU rRNA
Rfam family: Bacterial small subunit ribosomal RNA
Source: RNAcentral